UGGGGAAUAUUGGGCAAUGGGCGCAAGCCUGACCCAGCAACGCCGCGUGAAGGAAGAAGGCUUUCGGGUUGUAAACUUCUUUUAAGGGGGAAGAGCAGAAGACGGUACCCCUUGAAUAAGCCACGGCUAACUACGUGCCAGCAGCCGCGGUAAUACGUAGGUGGCAAGCGUUGUCCGGAUUUACUGGGUGUAAAGGGCGUGCAGCCGGGACUGCAAGUCAGAUGUGAAAUCCGCGGGCUUAACCCGCGAACUGCAUUUGAAACUGCGGAUCUUGAGUACCGGAGAGGUUAUCGGAAUUCCUUGUGUAGCGGUGAAAUGCGUAGAUAUAAGGAAGAACACCAGUGGCGAAGGCGGAUAACUGGACGGCAACUGACGGUGAGGCGCGAAAGCGUGGGGAGCAAACAGG
Molecule: ribosomal RNA, 406 nt
Filed under: uncultured bacterium
Lineage: Bacteria
Description: bacterial SSU rRNA
Rfam family: Bacterial small subunit ribosomal RNA
Source: RNAcentral